CUGUGAAUAUUCUCAAUGUUCUGCUUUUGUAAUAGUCAGAACAGGUUAACAUUUUCUAUAUUAAUAUCAUGCAUAUGUACCCAGAUAAAGCCUGUUUCCUAGGUCUUGUCUUCUAAAUGCUGGUAACAAAC
Molecule: small nucleolar RNA, 131 nt
Organism: Callithrix jacchus (white-tufted-ear marmoset)
Lineage: Eukaryota; Metazoa; Chordata; Mammalia; Primates; Cebidae
Gene: SNORA72
Rfam family: Small nucleolar RNA SNORA72
About the family: U72 is a member of the H/ACA class of snoRNAs. The snoRNA gene is located in intron 4 of the ribosomal L30 protein gene in human, mouse and chicken.
Source: Ensembl